Molecule: RNA transcript, 4357 nt
Organism: Cherax quadricarinatus
Lineage: Eukaryota; Metazoa; Arthropoda; Malacostraca; Decapoda; Parastacidae
Gene: ChLD3
Gene name: Chitin and LDLR binding deacetylase 3
Source: RefSeq, a predicted model, not a curated record
GCCGGAACUUAUAUAAAGAAGCGACGACCAGCGAGCGUUGUUACUUACUGCUGCAGGGAUGUGGCACUCACAUCUUGCCUACCUGGCACUCUUGCUCGUUGUCUCCGCCCUACUAGUUGGCGGAAAAGUGGCACCAGAUCACCCCCUCCUGAGGAACAAGAGAGCCCUUCGUCUCAAUGUCCCCUGUAUUGCCAACGGAGAGUUCUAUCGCAACCCUACAGCCAACCCAGAGAAGGUGUGGAGUCUUGGAGAGUGUUCAAAAUACUACCUCUGUCUUGAUGAAGAGGUGUACGAGUUCAAGUGUUCAGUCGGCCUGCUAUUCGACAUUGAUAGACAGAUCUGUGACUUCAAAUCCAAGGUGUUCAACUGCGAUGCCCAUGUCCAGCUGACAACACCCAGACCCCUACUGUCAACGGAUGAGCCCAUGUGUCCCUAUGGGGAGUAUGCCUGUGGAGAUCGCGAGUGUUUGCCCUCAGAGCUCUUCUGUGAUGGCCAGGUUGAUUGCAAGGACAGCUCUGAUGAGGGAUGGUGUGAUGCUGAAAACGACCCAAAUGCAGCUCCACGCUGUGACUACACCAACUGCACCCUGCCCUGGUGUUUCUGCUCCCGCGAUGGCACCCUCAUUCCUGGCAAUAUGGAGCCUGCCCAGGUGCCCCAGAUGGUAACAUUGACAUUCGAUGAUGCCAUCAACUAUGAAAACUGGGACCUGUAUGCACAGCUCUUCAAUGGUGAGAGAACCAAUCCCAAUGGGUGCCCCAUCCAUGCCACCUUCUACGUCUCUCAUGAGUACAACAAUUACCAGUAUACACAGAAGCUCUGGAAUGAUGGCCAUGAGAUUGCUGUACACUCCAUCACACAUAAAGGACCCGAAAGCUUCUGGACAAACAAUGCCACCAUUGAAGACUGGUUUGACGAGUUUGUGGGCCAGGCCAACAUCAUCAACCGCUUCGGGGGCGUUCGUAUGGAGGACCUCUGGGGUGUUCGUGUGCCCUUUCUGCGGGUGGGCUGGAAUCGUCAGUUCAUCAUGAUGAGGGAAUUUGGCUUCAUCUAUGACUCGUCGAUGGCUGCUCCGUUCUCAAACCCACCACUUUGGCCUUACACCCUGGAUUACAAGAUGCCUCACAAGUGCAUGGGCACAGGACAGCGGUGUCCCUCUCGGUCCUUCCCAGGCAUCUGGGAGAUGGUUCUCAACCAACUGCAGGCUGGGGAGUACUACUGUGCCAUGAUGGACCAGUGCCCGCCAUCAGUGGACGAGGAGGACGUCUACGAGAUGCUGAUGCACAAUUUCCGUCGUCACUACAAUACCAAUAGGGCGCCUCUUGGACUCUACUUUCACACCAUAUGGUUCAAGGUCAAGCAUAACAUGAGGGCCAUGAAGCGGUUCCUGGACGAGUUGGUAAAGAUGCCUGAUGUGUGGAUUGUCAACAAUCAGGAGGUAAUAAAGUGGAUGAGAGAGCCCACGCCAAACUCACAGAUGGCCAGCUUCGAGCCCUGGAAAUGUCAGCAGACAGUACCUGCUGAGGACAAGGUCUGCAGCAUCCCCAAGUCUUGCAAGCUAAAGAGCCGGAUGCUGAGAGGAGACCGCUACCUCCACACAUGCUUUGACUGCCCUGAUGUCUACCCAUGGCUAAAAAAUGAAUUUGGUAUUGACCUGUAAAAUGUGAAGGAAGGAUAAUGGAAAAAUGCUGUUUGGGAGAUUGCUGAAAGCCUGAACCAUUAUCAAGUUGGAACACAUACAAUGGGGAGAAGAUAGGUCAGGUGAUACCAUCAGAAAGCGGGUCAGGUGACGAAAAUACUGACACACCAGGCGAGUUGUAGUAAUGGUAGAGGUUUUGUUGCGAUAUCUAAUUAAAACUCCAAGGGAUAAUGUAGCUAGAAUAUUUCCACCCUCUUCUUCUAUAAGAUUAAAGUGUUAUUAAUCUCCACUAAGAGACAAAUAUUUUCUUUUGGGGGAUGGUCUGUGUGAUGAGAGCUGAAAGUGUUGAAUGAUGAAAGUAUUUUCUUUUGGGGGAUUUUCUUUCUUUUUUUUGGGUCACCCUGCCUCGGUGGGAGAUGGCCGACUUGUUGGGGGAAGAAAAAAAAAAAAAAAACACUAACAAUACAUAUUUUUAAUUAAGUGUAAAUAAAUACUGUAAAUCAUGUAUUCCCAGUACAGUAGCUUGAGGGGUAAGUCAAACUUAGAGGAGAGGGGAGUCUGAGAGUUGUAUAUUACUGUGCAUAGUAAACAUACUGUACAUGGAUAGCUCUUAUUGUUUUUAAACCAUAGCACCUCCCAUUACCUGUAUGAUGAGAUUAGCCAUUAUGGCCCAUAUCAGUUCUCUUGUCCCCACCACUAGGCAUACAUAAAUGUAAAUUUUAGCUUGUCAACAGUAAUAAUAUAAUCAAAUUAAGCACUAAACCCAAGAGCCAUACAUCAGUGUAGGAAGAGAUGUACACAUCUAUACAGUGGCACAUCGGUUGUCGAACUUAAUUCCUUCCAGUUCGACUCCCAAAGCAAUUUUUUCCAUAAAGAAUAAUGUAAAAUUAAUCUGUUCAGACCCCAAAUGACAAUAUAAUUUAUUAAAAAUGCACUAAAUACUACAUAAAACUAAAAAUUAACACUAAAAGAAACUUGAUUCAAAUACUGUACAGUAAAUGAAAAUUUAACUGCCUCUUACCUAUCAGAGGAAAGCUAAUGGCAUACUGGAAGCAGGAGAGGAGGAUGUUAUUUCUUGGAAGGACAGUCUGGCAACUCUUCUGGUGUUUCUCUUUUCACUACUGACACCUUGUUCUGGCUCACUGGUUCUUUCUCACUAAAAACUUGUCCAAUGAUGUUUGUUUCAGGUUCCAUUUUCAGGGACAAUAUAUUUGUCCGAUUUCAUAAUAUAUCUUAUGGUGAGAUUUGGCGAGUAAGGAAUAUGGGUGGAAAAUUGGGAAAUCACGAAUAGCUAAUAGUUUGCUUGUUCAUUACCCUGAACAUUGACGUGUCCAGGGACCUGGCAAAAAUUGACUUCUUUGGUUAUGCCACAUUUCUUUUAAAUACAAAGUUGAAUGCAGAUAGGAUGAGCAGUCAAAUUUCUCAGUAGCCUGUAAAUUGCUGGAAAUCUGACACAACUGUGAAUGAUGAGGGAGACAUUAAUGCAAUAUGCAUGAUAGCCAUGAAAAUUGCACCUAACCCAGCUGUGAAAACACUGGCCAAGUCACUACUAGUAAAGGACCUUGUCAGGAAAACCUGCUGCAUAUCAGACACCAUCAGGAGACCUAGAACCAUCAGUGUAUACUGCAUUAGCAAGAGAAUGAAAGUGAUUAAGAAACUGUGAAAUUAUAACAAAGUGAGCUUUUGCACAUGGAAGUGGGGAAAAGCAAACGUGAAUCAUUGGGAUUCCACAAAGAGGGAAGGGAAAAAAUUAUGGGAAGCAGGUUAAGAAAAUACAGUAAUAAAAUUGUUCUUUAUUGCUUAAGUAUAAAUAAAAUACAUAUAUCUGUGGCCACCAAGGGCCUAUCAGAUAAUGCGAAGAUAUGCAUUAUGACUUGUUGGUGUAUUCUUCAACCACGCUUGGUGAAAGCAUUUCACAUUAUAAUAGACCUGAAUUAGUAACAGUAGUUUAUUUUUUAUGGACUUUGUGCAAUACAAUAGAAAAGUAAGUUUUACAAUAAUUGUACUUAAAAAUUCAUUUAAAAUUCUCAAGUGCCUGAAGAUACAGUAAUUUUGUCACCUAAGCAGAAAACAAGGAAAGUAAUUUCUUAAUGUUGAUAUCUUUAUGUACACUGUCUUUAUGACCUAUAUGAGUUUACUUAUUUUUUAGUAUAAUAGUUGAUGCAAAAGAAUUACAGAUGCUGCAGUUUGGCACUUGAGUAAACAAAUCUUUAAGAGGAACAUAAAUAUAUAUAUAUAUAAUUUACUUUUAUAUUUAUUUAUAUAAUAAUAUUAGACAUGUUGGCUUGAACUUCAUUCAUUUAUUCCUAAAGACAACCCCCUUCCUCCCACCCCAUAUUCAAGAAGUGUAAUCACGAUAACCGGAAUGUCAAACACUUGUGUAAUUUAAAACAAAUGGAGACAAGCGACACAGAUUAAGAAAGCUGUAGUUUUUGUCCUGACUCAACUGAAGGUCUUGGUUAGAGAUUGAAAUAGAGAUAACUAAUCUCUUCCAUUGCUGUCUUCAAGUAUAUUUUGAAUUAAGUCUUCAUGAAUUAGGACUUUAUUAAAAAGCUAGCAUUAAGAGAGAACAUUAUAAUAUAUCGCUAGUAAAUGGCUCCCACCAAGCAUAGUUCAAGAAAUCACCUUUGUUUAAAAAAAAAAAAAAAAAUUAAGAUUCUUUACGACAUUUGAUGAGACAGAAGCUAACUUGGCUGUCUUGCAGUUAAUGGUGAAAUGAUU